This is a small nuclear RNA of Cricetulus griseus (Chinese hamster), 101 nucleotides long. The record is from Ensembl. NCBI's taxonomy places the organism in Eukaryota, Metazoa, Chordata, Mammalia, Rodentia, Cricetidae.
UUAGUUUUGGCAGUACAGUUACUAAAAUUGGGAUGAUACAGAGAUUAGCAUGGCCUCUAUAUAAGGAUGACAGCCAAAUCUGUAAAGUGUUUCACAUUUUA